CAGCAGCCACGGGAAUACGAAGGGGGCUAGCGUUGUUCGGAAUCACUGGGCGUAAAGGGUGCGCAGGCUGGUUCUUAAGUCAGGGGUGAAAUCCCGAGGCUCAACCUCGGAACGGCCUUUGAUACUGGGGAUCUUGAGUCCGGAAGAGGUGAGUGGAACUGCGAGUGUAGAGGUGAAAUUCGUAGAUAUUCGCAAGAACACCGGUGGCGAAGGCGGCUCACUGGUCCGGAACUGACGCUGAGGCACGACAGCGUGGGGAGCAAACAGGAUUAGAUACCCCGGUAGUCCCUGUCUCUUAUAC
RNAcentral lists this ribosomal RNA (301 nucleotides) under uncultured bacterium. RNAcentral's name for it is "partial 16S ribosomal RNA". It matches the Rfam family "Bacterial small subunit ribosomal RNA", at positions 509 to 807 of the family's 1533-position model. The record is from RNAcentral.